AUGACGUCCAAGGUAGCCAACAGCUCCGGCAGCAACAAUGCGGAUGCCAAGCUAUCGCCGUCGGGGCUCCCCGUCCGGGAGGUCCCGGGCGGCUACGGCGUUCCCUUCUUGUCGCCGCUGCGCGACCGCCUUGACUACUACUACUUCCAGGGCGCGGAGGAGUACUUCCGCUCCCGCAUCGCCCGGAACGGCGGCGCCACCGUGCUGCGCGUCAACAUGCCCCCCGGGCCGUUCAUCACCACCGACUCCCGCGUCGUCGCCUUCCUCGACGCGCGCAGCUUCAGCGUGCUCCUCGACGACGCCAAGGUCGACAAGACCGACACGCUCGACGGGACCUUCAUGCCCUCCCUCGCGCUCUUCGGCGGCUACCGCCCGCUCGCCUUCCUCGACGCUGCCGACCCCCACCACGCCGCGCUCAAGCGCGUCAUGAUCAGCCUCGCCGCCGCGCGGAUGCACCACGUCGCGCCGGCCUUCCGCACCGCUUUCGGCGCCGUGUUCGACGCCGCCGACGCCGGCCUCGGCGACGGCCCCGUCCAGUUCAACAAGCUCAACGAGCACCACAUGUUCGACUUCACCUGCUCCGCGCUGUUCGGCGGCACGCCGCCGAGCAAGGCCAUGGGCGACGGCGCCGUGACCAAGGCCAUCAAGUGGCUCGGCGUGCAGCUGCACCCGCUCGCCAGUAAGAUCAUCAAGCCGUGGCUGCUCGAGGAUCUCCUUCUCCACACCUUCCGCCUGCCGCCGUUGCUGGUUCGCCGGGACUACGCCGACCUGACAGCCUACUUCGCCGAAGCUGCCGCCGGCGUUCUCAACGACGCCGACAAGGCUCAGUCCGGCAUCUCACGCGACGAGCUCCUCCACAACCUAGUCUUCACCGCCAUCUUCAACGCCUACGGAGGCUUCAAGAUCUUCCUGCCGCACGUCAUCAAGUGGCUAGCCCGCGCCGGCCCGGCUCUGCACGCCAGGCUCGCCAGCGAGGUCCGCGCCGCCGUGCCCAACGGCAGCGACAUCACCGUGCCCGCCGUCGACAAGAUGCCGCUGGUGAAGUCGGUGGUGUGGGAGGCGCUGCGCAUGAACCCGCCGGUGGAGUUUCAGUACGGCCGCGCGCGCCAGGACCUGGUGGUCGAGAGCCACGACGCCGCCUACCGGGUGCGCAAGGGCGAGAUGCUCUUCGGGUACCAGCCUCUGGCGACCCGCGACGAGCGCGUGUUCAAGCAGGCCGGCGAGUUCGUCCCUGACCGGUUCGUGGGCGGCGAAGGGCGGCUGCUCGGGAACGUGGUGUGGUCGAACGGGCCGGAGAACAGCGAGCCGGCGGAGGGGAACAAGCAGUGCCCCGGGAAGGACGUGGUGGUGGCGGUCGGGAGGCUAAUGGUGGCGGAGCUGUUCCGGCGGUACGACACAUUCACCGCCGACGUGAAGGAGAUGCCGCUAGAGCCGGUGGUGACGUUCACUUCGCUGACCAGGGCCAAGGCAGAGUGA
This 1476-nucleotide ribosomal RNA is filed under the name Triticum aestivum (bread wheat). RNAcentral's name for it is "partial small subunit ribosomal RNA". The record is from RNAcentral. Lineage: Eukaryota; Viridiplantae; Streptophyta; Magnoliopsida; Poales; Poaceae.